UUUUGCUUAUGUUUGUUGAUAGCCAUUAUUUUAGAUGGAAAUGGUAGAGAAAUCAUAGAAACAUCUAUUGUGAUGUCACAAAUUAUUUACAAACAGGUACAUAACAAUAAUAGUUCUACAUCUAAUUAGUUUACAUAGUUUACUUAAUAUUUAAGCAUCACAAUUAAGGUAAAAUACAUGAAAUACUUAGAAAUAAAUUAUAGACUGGAGUACAAUGAAUAACUAAUUAUACUAAAUACUUAAACAAGAUAAUUAAGUUAAUACUAGUGAACUGUAAGUGUAUAAAACGAAUGCUAUGAGAAAUCAAGGUGUUAAAUAAAGUUUCAACUGCUCUGAUACGUUUUUUUUUUAAGUAAACUGGAAGGAAAACCAUUCUAAACCAACCAUUUUACAAACAAAUACCUAUUCUUUGUACUAAACUUGAUUUCCUUUAUCAGUCUUCAUAAUAUCCACUAGAUGGGAUGAUGGUGAAAAUGUGGAAAAUGAUUAAGUACUGAUAAAGAAAACCUAGAUCAGCCUGUGGGUGUCUGAGGUUAACCAACAGAGUUCCGCUGAGUACCACAAAUGCGGCUUCCCGGUGACAAGCACUAGGGAACAGCAACUUGUAUGGGGUAAACCGUCAGCCUACCCGGUGCCGGGGGAUUACCAUGGAAAAACUCGGCCCUCAGUUGUAGACUUGAGUGCCAAACAACUGGACGGUGUUGCUGCUUGGUCAGCGGACAGGAAAAAACCAACAGACCAAUAACUACAGACGGAUAUGGAUAUCAACUGAAACUGGACAGCAGAACACGACAACGACGACGACGACGACAACCGGAAAACCGACGAAUUGCUUGCGUACCUAAACGUUUCGGUUUUCGAUUUCGAUUCCAACUAGGUAACUACUACAACUACUACAGCGCGUUGGGGAAACAACUCGUCGGAAAAAUCUAGUACCGUUAUCACAAUACGCGCACUGAACGGGCGGCGGCUGAUUAAAAACGAUGAACCAAAACAAAUGCGUACGGUGUCGUCCCCUCCAGUCGGCGUUUGCGGCUGCGGUGGCGGAGGUGACUGCGGUAUCAGCCGUGCGAAGGACCGCGGUAGAGGAGGAGUGGGACGGCCCCAUAGAGACGACGACGUACCGCUCUCGGUCGCAGCGGUGGGUGAGGCGGCAGUUGCGGUAUCCUCCGGGUUUAAAAAUAAAUUGGCCGUGGCUAACGAUAUUUUCGUCGCUUAUACUGCUCGCAGAACACAAUAUCCCUCUCUGUUGGAGACGAAACGGUUUCGGUAAUUUUUUUCGCUCGUUUUUCCUCGUGGUUUUCGGCGGUCGCUGCUGCUGGCCGCUGCCGUUUUCCUCUGAGGAAUUUCAUAGUAUUUUUAUGCGACGACAACAACAACAACAGCAGCAGCAGCAGCUGACCGGCAGCGACACCCGCACUCGCGUGCCUGCGUGUGUGCUCUUGUGACGUGUUUACGUCCGGCCAGCAGCUACAAUAAUAUUCGUUUAUCUCUGCCGCGGCUGCGGACGGAUUGCUACUACUACCACUACUACGUGUAGUGUGUGACGUAUAAUUAAAGUAGUAGAUUAUAUAAAUACGUAUAAUAAUAAUAGUUUUUAUCUAUACUAUAUAUACACACAUUCGUUCGCGUACGCCAGAAUUGAGAUUAUACAUACAAUUAUAAUAAUAACAUUGGCACGCGGGUGGACAGCUGUCGGAGAGUUUCGUGAUAACAGUCGACGCCACCGCCGGUUUGUGUACGUUUAGUCGUUCGUUUUUUUUGGAUUUUCUUCCCGAGUGGACGAUCUCUCCCCGGCUGUUUUUUAUUUCCACCCUUGCGAACUUGGCAGCCUCCAGUUGUGCUAUCUGCGCGCGCAUUUCGUGACUCAAGAGUGUGUGUGAUGUCCGACAACAGUGAUGGUAACAGAUUGUCUGGACGCGGCGACGUCUGUCAUUCUAGCGUAGCAAAUGCCACGGUCGAUCUGCAGCAACAGUCGAUAACGGAUUACAAAACAUUAGCUGACAAAAGUUCUGAUGACAUUUUAUCUGAAUACUUAUUGUUGGAGCUGGGGCAGAGUAAAAAGGAAUUAUUCAACUUUGUGCAUUUAAGCCAAUCAAUGAGAUUAGCUAACAUCAAUAAUAAUAAAAAAUUACUCAACACGAUAUUGCACUCCAAGGUGAUAAACACUCAGUUAGAAGUUGAUUGUUUAUUAUCAUGUAUGGGAGUCAAUAUUUCUCCUUCACCCGAGCCCCUGGAAGCUAAUAAUAAAAAUGACCACAAAGGCACAGAUGAACACAAGGACACAGAUGAACGCAAGGACCCAGAUGAACACAAGGACACAGAUGAACACAAGGAAACAGAUGAACACAAGGAAACAGAUGAACACAAGGACAGAGAAAUGUCAUCACCUAUUCUUCCAUUGAUUUUAAAAUAUACACAGUUAGAAGAGUCAAAUUUCAAAAGUCAAUUUUUCAUCACCAGAAGCUCAUUUCAAAUAGUUUGCAGUCAUUUAAUGCAAGAAUUUGGAAGUAUGGCAUAUAAAAGGACUGAAUCUGAUGUUGAAAAACAAUUGCUGGUUACUCUCACAUACUUAGGAACUGUUCUAAGUUACAAGGAGAUUGGAUCAAAAUUUAAUAUCGCUAUUAGCACUGCUCAUAAAUGUGUUAAUGAUGUCACAAACACAUUGUUUAAACGUAUGGGUGAAGUUAUUUAUUGGCCGAUUAAUCAACAAGCCGAAUCUGAAAUUGAAGCAUUUAACAAAAUGCCUGGAAAUUGUUUUCCUGACAUACUAGGCGUCAUUGGAAUGGUAGACUUGAAAAAAACUUGCACAGCCAAUCCAUCCAAACAUACCAGAGAUGGAUCUUCAAUUGCCAUUCAGUGUGUAUGCAACAACAGUUAUCAGUUUUAUAACGUUUUCACCAGUUAUUUGCUCAAAUCAUCUGUUACCACAUCAACAUUCCUAGAGAGUCCAUUAGCUGAAAUGAUUCUUAAUGAUCCAGACACACUUUUUCCAAAUAUCAAAAGUCAUAUUGUUGGACAGUGCUGUUUCCCUCUUUUACCCAAUUUGAUGACUCCAUUUUCUCGUCAUACUUUUAAUACGUUAUCAGAAAACAUCUAUAAUGAAGCCAUUGAGGUACCAUUGAACAUAAUAAGGAUGGCAUUUGGAAAACUAUUAGGGCGGUUCUCAAGACUGUUGUGCUUAGAUUUAUGGGGACAGGACAAAUUUGCCAUCCUAAUAUUUGCUGCUUGUUGCUUGCACAAUCUUUGUUUAGGCAACGACGAUGACAUUUGCUGUGAACCUUACGAGUGCUGCACUUUCAAAUGUGAUUAUUACGAUGAGUUAAGUCUUGCAAAACGUCGAGAAAUAUGCACCAAAAUUAGAUAUCCAGUUCCAUAAACAACAGAUGAAUUGUUUAUAUAACAUUGUACAAAUAUCCAAUGUUGUUUUAAUGUUAUUGGUUCGAUGUUACAAAGAAGCAACGACAAUUCGUAAGAAUCAUGAACUUGACAUACAUACGGCCCAUACGGCCAUAUUGUCAUUAAACUGCGAAAAGUACACAGCAAUAUUACGGUCGAAGACUUUGAGGACCACCUAGUCCUGCCGCGGGGGGAUAGCGGACUGUGGCGAGACGAUGCGGUGCUCACGGGACCGUGCUGUUUACCUCGGGUCGAAUAUGUCGGCGUACAUCGAGACGUUUUCGACGAAGGCUCCGCUUGCCGGGCUACCAGUUGUCAGAAGCGAGCUGCUACCACCGUGACGACAGACAUCCAAACGGUCCGGACCGGACAAAUGAUCGAACAAAUCGGAACUCUGGCGAUACGGCGAUACGCGUCGUUUUCCGUUUUCUCGAACGGUGUACCUUUUAUCAAUAUUGUGUCUGACGCAGCAAACAGUGCCGUCGACAGUGCGAACUGCAAACACAACGUACCGUUCAAGCGCGACGGAUGCGUCCGGUCAAAAAUCGCGUUUUUUCCACGGGAUAUUCAGGCUUCCGGCGUCUGACAGAACGAAUCGCAUUACUUUGGGGAGUAUAGUUUAUGGAUAAAUUCACAGACAUAAUAUUAUUUACGUGUAAUAUCAUUGUGGGUGAAUUAAUUAGGUAUUGUUCUGCGCUAUAAUUAAUAUUGUAUUAAUACGGGUUCUAGAAUUAUAAUCGGACAUGUUGGUAAUCUACUUAUCUAAAACCACUACCUUAGUAACGGAUGUACGGACGAACGGCGUAUCAUAGGUUAUUUAUUUUUUUUAUAGUUUUGUAAUUCGUUAUCUAUGGCGCUGCAGUGUUAAGGCUCUGCGAUUCUCUAAUCUCUAGACUCUAGUUCACUUCUGUAGGGCGUAGGCUGUUGAGUGUUGAGUGUUGACUCAUCCGUUCGUACGGUUUUCUAAUAUCCUCCGUCUCCCGAACUGCUCAGUUGCUCCUACAACAAUUUACAGUAUAUACUUUUUUUGGAUUUCAUAGUUCAUACUGUUUACAGCCUACGACUUUCAAACAUUUUAAUUAA
Molecule: RNA transcript, 4482 nt
Organism: Myzus persicae (green peach aphid)
Lineage: Eukaryota; Metazoa; Arthropoda; Insecta; Hemiptera; Aphididae
Gene name: protein ALP1-like
Exons: 9
Source: RefSeq, a predicted model, not a curated record